AACGAACGCUGGCGGCAGGCUUAACGCAUGCAAGUCGAACGCCCCGCAAGGGGAGUGGCAGACGGGUGAGUAACACGUGGGAACAUGCCCAAAGGUACGGAAUAUCCUCGGGAAACUGGGAGCAAUACCGUAUGUGCCCGAAAGGGGAAAGAUUUAUCGCCUGUGGAUUGGCCCGCGUUGGAUUAGCUAGUUGGUGGGGUAAAAGCCUACCAAGGCGACGAUCCAUAGCUGGUCUGAGAGGACGACCGGCCACACUGGGACUGAGACACGGCCCAGACUCCUACGGGAGGCAGCAGUGGGGAAUCUUGGACAAUGGGCGCAAGCCUGAUCCAGCCAUGCCGCGUGAGUGAUGAAGGCCUUAGGGUUGUAAAACUCUUUCGUCGGGGUCGAUAAUGACGGUACCCGAAGAAGAAGCCCCGGCUAACUUCGUGCCAGCCGCCGCCGUAA
This 447-nucleotide ribosomal RNA is filed under the name uncultured bacterium. Its description in RNAcentral is "partial 16S ribosomal RNA". It matches the Rfam family "Bacterial small subunit ribosomal RNA", at positions 29 to 523 of the family's 1533-position model. The record is from RNAcentral.